CAACGCCGCCGCCACACCUUUCUUCCCCAAGAAAAACCCCACAGAGAGCUCCCUGCCAUGAACGCCGACGACGCCAUGACCUACCUCUCCGGCACCUGAGCGUGGAGAAGCACCAUCGUCCACCUUCUUCGUUGGCCUCUACGUCGACACGGUCCAGGGACGCCAGGAUCUACUCAAGCCCGACCACCUCUGCCUCCCCGUCACGGCCAUCCCGUCUUCCUCGUCGCCGGCGUAUUCCUUCACCUCGUCGGGCACCACCAGGACGCCGAUGCAGAGCAGUACGAGCAGGAGUACGAGUUCCCUCUGGAGGAUCGUGUCGGUGCUUCUACCUCUGAUCUGACAGGCGAGCCCACCCCUUCACCUAUUUUACAUUUUACAUGCUCUUUUGAUCUAUUGUUAUCCUUAUGUUGCGAUUCUGUUGUGUCACGUGUCCUAUCCACCUGUUACCUAUAUGUCCGAGAUACACCUCCUCGCCCUACCUAUUGUUUGUUGUUUUCCAGCUUUGCGAGUCGUAGGCGAGUUUAGGGUUUUUGUUGAUAUCUCGAAAUGUUCGGGAUAUCUUGUUGGGAUGUUGACACAUGUACUACCUUUUUGAAAAUGAAGUGGAUAACUUUUGCUACAACUUAAAAUUGCUAAGGGAUAUAAUAUGCAGAGGCAUCUGUGAGCCCCUUUGCGAAAGCAUCGGAACUUUGACUUGCUAAUGUCCCCUAGGACCCGAGUUCUUGUUAUCUGUUUCUAAGACUGAGCGCGCUAACCACUCGUGGGAGGUUUUAUCGGGACCCCCCAUCACCCAUUACCAUUUCUCAAGUCUGUUGAAAAGGGGGCCACAACCUUGGUUUUAUUUGCCUAUGCCAUUUAUGCCAUGCUUUACUUACUGUUGCCUUCGGGUGUUUACUUCCUGUUGCCUUCGGGUGUUUAUAUUCUGUACUGUACCCCGCGGAACGUUUAGUGAAGCGUGUGGUUCGCAUGCCUAGCCGUUAACGCAAACCCUGAGUCCGCAUCGGAGUACGGCCGAACUUCGUUUCGGGUAGCUUAGUCGGGUGGCCCCCCUAGGCAUUCUUGUAGAUCUGGGAACGGUCUUGUUGUGAGACUCCACCGUGAUCAAGCGGGUUCGAGCAUGCGUGUAUGGUAACAUUGGUGCACCCCUGCAGGGUUAAAUCUUAUCGAUAAGCCGUGUCCGCGGUUAUGGACGACUUGGAGCUGUUUAACUCGAUCAUAGAACAACUUACACCUAAAGUUGUCGCUAAUAACUUGCUAAUUACUUGCGUAGUAAGUUAGCCCUAUUAUAAUGGAAUGAUAUAAAAUUGUCAACUGUGUGAGUGCCUUGUUAGUACCUCUUGGCUAAGGGGGAUCGCAAUGGCAGGGUUUUGAUUGCAGAGUAUAGAACUGCUAGAAUAUGCGCUCUCUCACCUUCUCUAUUAGACGGAAUUUGUAGCGUGUCUCUAUUGGUUAGUGCUUUGCUGCCGCUAAACUCCACCAUAUAGCCGGGCGAAGUUUACACCGCCCACCAGCAAGCAUAGCUGGUCUUGUCUCGCAAGUACGUGCCAACGGUACUUACCCUCGUUUUUCUUCCUCUUUUUCCGGAACACGCUUUUCGACAAACAGGUACGACAGAUGAUGAGCAGUACGCAGGUGGAUACUUUGUCGAGUUCACGGACGACGACUUCGUUGCGUAGCAGGAUAGUUCCUAAGGCAGCAGCCUGUGGCUUGUUGGUUAUGGAAACACCGCUUGAUUAUCUUCAGGACUCUUAGUCCAAUUUGGAUCUUGUCUGUACCCAGACUAUUUGGCUAUCUUAUGUAUGAUAUACUGAUGGGAUAUGUUUCCCCGUUGAGUGUCAUUUGGAUCUUGCUCAUUAGAGCGUUGCUAUAUAUAUGAACCUUUAUUUC
Molecule: non-coding RNA, 1887 nt
Organism: Lolium perenne
Lineage: Eukaryota; Viridiplantae; Streptophyta; Magnoliopsida; Poales; Poaceae
Source: RefSeq, a predicted model, not a curated record